AGGACGAACGCUGGCGGCGUGCUUAACACAUGCAAGUCGAGCGGUAAGGCACUUCGGUGUACACGAGCGGCGAACGGGUGAGUAACACGUGAGUAAUCUGCCCUUCACUCUGGGAUAAGCUUCGGAAACGGGGUCUAAUACCGGAUACGACCAGCCUCUGCAUGGGGUGUUGGUGGAAACUUUUAUGGGUGGGGGAUGUGCUCGCGGCCUAUCAGCUUGUUGGUGGGGUAAUGGCCUACCAAGGCUUCGACGGGUA
RNAcentral lists this ribosomal RNA (256 nucleotides) under uncultured bacterium. Its description in RNAcentral is "partial small subunit ribosomal RNA". It matches the Rfam family "Bacterial small subunit ribosomal RNA", at positions 26 to 285 of the family's 1533-position model. The record is from RNAcentral.